This 84-nucleotide transfer RNA is filed under the name Candidatus Woesearchaeota archaeon. RNAcentral describes it as "tRNA-Leu". It matches the Rfam family "tRNA". From Rfam's summary of the family: Transfer RNA (tRNA) molecules are approximately 80 nucleotides in length. Their secondary structure includes four short double-helical elements and three loops (D, anti-codon, and T loops). The record is from RNAcentral. Lineage: Archaea; Nanobdellati; Candidatus Woesearchaeota.
GCGGGGAUGCCGGAGCGGUCAAACGGGCUGGCCUUAGGAGCCAGUGGCUGAGUGCUUUCGGGGGUUCGAAUCCUCCUCCCCGCA